CUCCUCCUAAUCGCCACCCUUCCCCCCUCGGUGAGGGCUAGGACCGUUGCCAAGGAAACAACCCCGCCUCCGUUUCCAGAGACACCGCCCCUACCUCUCAGCGAGCUCCGCGAUUGGCCGGUGGAGCUCGUGCUCUCACCAUCCCGCCCCCUCCCACUACACCAACUGCUAGGAGUUAAUGGUCGCCAGGGAACGCGAGGCAGUUUUCUUAUUGGUUGCGGGGUGCGCAGGCCGGUUCCACCUCCCCGGUGCUCCAGAAAUGCCUGCGGGAGGAGUAGGAGGGAGGUCCCUGGCGUCUCCCUUCUAGACCGGCCUGUGCUUUCAGAUCUUUUCCCGCCCCCGUUUACGCCUCAUUAAGUUUUAUCUUUCCGAAGACCGAAAGCCGAGGGAUCUGAGGACAGACACCCUUCCUCCCCGGCCUCUGCCCACACUCUGCUUCCUAGCACCUUCCUUCUCCCCACAGGUUCCAGGUGCUGAUGGGGCCCAUCGGAGGGAUACUGCCAAAGAGAGAAGGCUGCUUCCUUUUCUGUUACCCUGCCUCUCCCCUCCACCUUCCCUGAGUUUAACGCCAUAUCUGGAGUCUUAAUCUCUGGUUCCUGGCUUUUCUCACAGAGAGGCAAGGAUCUUUGGGAAUCCCUUCAGGUGAAGACAAAGGAAGGGAAGAAACUGGUUAGGAGGAAACAUGGCGUCUUCUAUUCUUCUAAAAAGAGAUGAGAACAAGAAUUUGGAGAAUCCCAAGUGGUGAAACGCUGGAGAGAAGCCAUCUCAGUAAAGGCUUACAAUCACAGACAGGUGUCUUCCUACAAAUAAAGUGAGUACUUCUCUGCCCUCCA
Sus scrofa (pig) is the source of this 833-nucleotide non-coding RNA. Lineage: Eukaryota; Metazoa; Chordata; Mammalia; Artiodactyla; Suidae. The record is from RefSeq and is a predicted model, not a curated record.